This 472-nucleotide ribosomal RNA is filed under the name uncultured bacterium. RNAcentral describes it as "SSU rRNA". It matches the Rfam family "Bacterial small subunit ribosomal RNA", at positions 26 to 518 of the family's 1533-position model. The record is from RNAcentral.
AGGACGAACGCUGGCAGCGCGCCUAACACAUGCAAGUCGAGCGAUAACCAGGGCUUGCCCUGGGGACAGCGGCGAACGGGUGCGUAACACGUGAGCAACCUGCCCCAAAGACCGGGACAACCCGAGGAAACUCGGACUAAUACCGGAUGCCCUCACCGGGCCGCAUGGUCUGGUGAGGAAAUGGAUUCCGCUUUGGGAUGGGCUCGCGGUCUAUCAGCUUGUUGGUGGGGUAACGGCCUACCAAGGCGACGACGGAUAGCUGGUCUGAGAGGACGAUCAGCCACACUGGGACUGAGACACGGCCCAGACUCCUACGGGAGGCAGCAGUGGGGAAUCUUGCGCAAUGGGGGAAACCCUGACGCAGCGACGCCGCGUGCGGGAUGAAGGCCUUCGGGUGUAAACCGCUUUCAGCAGGGACGAAAUUGACGGUACCUGCAGAAGAAGGCCCGGCCAACUACGUGCCAGCAGCCGC